Long non-coding RNA from Podarcis raffonei (Aeolian wall lizard), 823 nucleotides. RefSeq lists it as uncharacterized. The transcript has 2 exons. Lineage: Eukaryota; Metazoa; Chordata; Lepidosauria; Squamata; Lacertidae. The record is from RefSeq and is a predicted model, not a curated record.
GGCCUUGACAGACAUGUGAGCAAGAAAGGCCUUUCUUUUUUUACAAAAGGAAGAAAAUGAAAAACAACUUUUCCCAGAACUGAAAGUCCUCUCCCAGGCUAACAUUUCAGAAAUUGCUGACGUAUGUGAAUGAAAAACAGGCGAUAACGGGGCACCUUGGGCUGUGCCUUCCCAUGGCUCGGAUCAGCCCCCCCUUUGCCAGCUGCGUUCCCUCCCCUCCUCCCCUCUCUUGCAAAAGUGAUACUUCCCAAGCCUUCAGCAAAGCACAGUUCUUGCGUGGCCCCCAUCUGCAGGUGCAGCCGAGGCCUUGGCAAGGGGGAAGGAUGGUUAUCGCUUCAGAAAACAGCAACACUGUCUUGUAAUCCUUCCUCAAGGUCUUGGCCAAAGGAUAAAUUCUGAGGGAGAGGGACGUGGAGCACAGAGGAGCCCCGGCAACUGAUCAGAUCAUUUUUCAUGUAACUCUCAAUGUUAAAGCAGCGGGGGAAUCGUUGCCUUACUUUUUUUAAAGAUCUGUUUCGAGAUUGUUGCAUCCCUUUCAGUUCAAUUAAUUUUCUAAUUCUUACUCAUCUGUAUAGAAUUGCUGUGUAAUAUGCCUAUAUGUUUUCUGACAGAACUUUGCAUAAUGAUGUGCUGAAUUUAAUGAUGUAUUGAAUUUUAAGCAUACACUGCAAUAAUGUUCAAAAAGUACAAGUUCAUAAAUGCUAUCAAUUUGUGGGAAAAUGUGGUUGCUUUGAUUGUUUUGUGUCACCUUUCCUGGCUUCAUUCAGUUUGUAAAUGUGCUUCCCCUUUGAGUUGCUGAACAAUAAAAGAACUCUUGACUGCA